Molecule: ribosomal RNA, 521 nt
Filed under: fungal sp. SYL101
Lineage: Eukaryota; Fungi
Description: eukaryotic LSU rRNA
Rfam family: 5.8S ribosomal RNA (bases 150-303)
Source: RNAcentral
UUGUGAACAUACCUAUAACUGUUGCUUCGGCGGGCAGGGUCUCCGUGACCCUCCCGGCCUCCCGCCCCCGGGCGGGUCGGCGCCCGCCGGAGGAUAACCAAACUCUGAUUUAACGACGUUUCUUCUGAGUGGUACAAGCAAAUAAUCAAAACUUUUAACAACGGAUCUCUUGGUUCUGGCAUCGAUGAAGAACGCAGCGAAAUGCGAUAAGUAAUGUGAAUUGCAGAAUUCAGUGAAUCAUCGAAUCUUUGAACGCACAUUGCGCCCGCCAGCAUUCUGGCGGGCAUGCCUGUUCGAGCGUCAUUUCAACCCUCAAGCUCUGCUUGGUGUUGGGGCCCUACAGCCGAUGUAGGCCCUCAAAGGUAGUGGCGGACCCUCCCGGAGCCUCCUUUGCGUAAUAACUUUACGUCUCGCACUGGGAUCCGGAGGGACUCUUGCCGUAAAACCCCCAAUUCUCCAAAGGUUGACCUCGGAUCAGGUAGGAAUACCCGCUGAACUUAAGCAUAUCAAUAAGCGGAGGA